CUCCAACAUUGACAGAGGCUGCUCUGUACAGAGCUAGAAAACAUCUUUUUAAAGAAGAAAGACUUCAAGCUGAACAAGGGAGACUGGAAAGAAUAGGUCCUAUAGCAUAUUACUCAGAAUGGGUAAAAGCAUGGAAGAAAGACACCUCUUGUGAAGCUAUUCAGAAGCAUUUUGAAGAGACUGGUGAAGAUGAAAACACCCA
This 202-nucleotide unclassified non-coding RNA is filed under the name Hevea brasiliensis (rubber tree). Lineage: Eukaryota; Viridiplantae; Streptophyta; Magnoliopsida; Malpighiales; Euphorbiaceae. The record is from RNAcentral.